AGAGCGAACGCUGGCGGCAGGCUUAACACAUGCAAGUCGAGCGCCCCGCAAGGGGAGCGGCAGACGGGAGAGUAACACGUGGGAACGUACCUUUCGGUUCGGAACAACCCAGGGAAACUUGGGCUAAUACCGGAUACGUCCGUAAGGAGAAAGAUUUAUCGCCGAAAGAUCGGCCCGCGUCUGAUUAGCUAGUUGGUGAGGUAACGGCUCACCAAGGCGACGAUCAGUAGCUGGUCUGAGAGGAUGAUCAGCCUCACUGGGACUGAGACACGGCCCAGACUCCUACGGGAGGCAGCAGUGGGGAAUAUUGGACAAUGGGCGCAAGCCUGAUCCAGCCAUGCCGCGUGGGUGAUGAAGGCCCUAGGGUUGUAAAGCCCUUUCGGCGGGGAAGAUAAUGACGGUACCGCAGAAGAAGCCCGGCUAACUUCGUGCCAGCAGCCGC
This 442-nucleotide ribosomal RNA is filed under the name uncultured bacterium. RNAcentral describes it as "SSU rRNA". It matches the Rfam family "Bacterial small subunit ribosomal RNA", at positions 26 to 518 of the family's 1533-position model. The record is from RNAcentral.